GACGAACGCUGGCGGCGUGCUUAACACAUGCAAGUCGAACGGAAAGGCCCUGCUUGCAGGGUACUCGAGUGGCGAACGGGUGAGUAACACGUGGGUGAUCUGCCCUGCACUUCGGGAUAAGCCUGGGAAACUGGGUCUAAUACCGGAUAGGAGCCAUUUUUAGUGUGAUGGUUGGAAAGUUUUUUCGGUGUAGGAUGAGCUCGCGGCCUAUCAGCUUGUUGGUGGGGUAAUGGCCUACCAAGGCGGCGACGGGUAGCCGGCCUGGGAGGGUGGACGGCCACAUUGGGACUGAGAUACGGCCCAGACACCGACGGGAGGCAGCAGUGGGGAAUAUUGCACAAUGGGCGCAAGCCUGAUGCAGCGACGCCGCGUGGGGGAUGACGGCCUUCGGGUUGUAAACUCCUUUCGCUAGGGACGAAGCUUUUUGUGACGGUACCUAGAUAAGAAGCACCGGCUAACUACGUG
RNAcentral lists this ribosomal RNA (465 nucleotides) under uncultured bacterium. RNAcentral's name for it is "partial 16S ribosomal RNA". It matches the Rfam family "Bacterial small subunit ribosomal RNA", at positions 28 to 507 of the family's 1533-position model. The record is from RNAcentral.